UGGUGCAGAUAUGUACAAUGGGUUGGUGGAAAGAAGACAAGCCUGUGAGAGAUGCCACGUGGUGAUGCAUUUGAGGAAGUGGACCCAUCUAGAUCUUGACAAAGGGUUCUGAAAACCUCCUUGACUCUUCACUUUCAACAUCUGGCAUGAACAGUCCAAACCACUCAGUGCUUCUACUGCAGAUACUUUUGGCAAAUGAAGGCUGAGUUCCUGUUUUGAUUUUCAGGACUGACUAAAUGACAAGAAGGAGCAAGUUGUACUGAUCAUGGCCUCCUACCUACUGGUCUGCAAAUGGGGCUACACCAUGCUGAGCUGCUUCUGAGCACAGCAAUUCUACUGAUGCUGACCACCAUUG
This is a long non-coding RNA of Centrocercus urophasianus (Greater sage-grouse), 355 nucleotides long. RefSeq lists it as uncharacterized. The transcript is spliced from 3 exons. The record is from RefSeq and is a predicted model, not a curated record. Lineage: Eukaryota; Metazoa; Chordata; Aves; Galliformes; Phasianidae.